GUGCUCUUUAGGGAGCGACAGAAGUGGGAAUGGAAGGAUUUACAGCCAUACAUCAGAGAUUUGCGUAUACCAGGUCUCUCAUCAGAAGGAUUGCUUCUAAAGUACACUCGAAAAACGCAGCCUACCUCAGAUGCUGAACCUGUUUUCAGUGCAAGAUAAUCUCACCAUGCAUCUCGCGGGGUAUUCCAUGCUUGUCUUCUAAUGAGUGGUUAAGAUGGACUGUUUACAAAGUUGAACCACAUAGUGCUAUAAACAAUUAGUUCUGAAGGCAUCUUUACUGUCCCAUCAGUUGAAUUGUUCAGUGGCUUUGCCAUAAAAAUUACUAAAUCUAUUACA
Nelumbo nucifera (sacred lotus) is the source of this 336-nucleotide non-coding RNA. Lineage: Eukaryota; Viridiplantae; Streptophyta; Magnoliopsida; Proteales; Nelumbonaceae. The record is from RefSeq and is a predicted model, not a curated record.